RNAcentral lists this ribosomal RNA (234 nucleotides) under uncultured Candidatus Saccharibacteria bacterium. RNAcentral describes it as "partial 16S ribosomal RNA". It matches the Rfam family "Bacterial small subunit ribosomal RNA", at positions 584 to 818 of the family's 1533-position model. Lineage: Bacteria; Candidatus Saccharimonadota. The record is from RNAcentral.
CAAGUAGGUAGUGAAAUCGUGUGGCUCAACCAUACUCACAUUAUCUAAACUGCUAAGCUAGAAUAUAGAAGAGGUAGCUGGAAUUCCUAGUGUAGGAGUGAAAUCCGUAGAUAUUAGGAGGAACACCAAUGGCGUAGGCAGGCUACUGGUCUAUUAUUGACACUAAGGCACGAAAGCGUGGGAGCAAACGGGAUUAGAUACCCCGGUAGUCCACGCCGUAAACUAUGGAUGCUA